This is a long non-coding RNA of Solea senegalensis (Senegalese sole), 363 nucleotides long. RefSeq lists it as uncharacterized. The record is from RefSeq and is a predicted model, not a curated record. The transcript has 2 exons. NCBI's taxonomy places the organism in Eukaryota, Metazoa, Chordata, Actinopteri, Pleuronectiformes, Soleidae.
UCUCUCUACCUGCCAUGCCCCUCCUCUCACUACCUGCCUUGCCCCUGCUCUAACCUCACCUCACCUCUUGCAACCUGCACUGCCCCUCCUCACCUCACCUCCCACUACCUGCCUUAUUUUUCAUCACCUCACUAUUUGUCUCAUAUCAAAAGUACAUGUUCCACAGAUUCCUUCUCUUCCGGACACCUCUCACACAGUCCUGUCUGAUGUUUCCCUACCAAUUUGCCGCCAUGAACUGAGGGCCCACAAGCUGCUUAUACUGCAGCUGGGCACAGCCGUCAACAACAAUGAGCAGACUGCAUCACAUCCCAUCACAUCCCUCCAUACUGUGUCUGACUAAUUAAAGUGAAGACUCUGUGCUUA